Long non-coding RNA from Micropterus salmoides (largemouth bass), 508 nucleotides. RefSeq lists it as uncharacterized. The record is from RefSeq and is a predicted model, not a curated record. The transcript has 3 exons. NCBI's taxonomy places the organism in Eukaryota, Metazoa, Chordata, Actinopteri, Centrarchiformes, Centrarchidae.
CUAACUUUACAAUUAUAUAGACAUGAGUGUAAUGUUGAUCUAUAAUGCCUCUUGAUGUAUCUUACAGAGAAAACCUGUCCUGCAGGAUGGAAGAUGUUCAGUCAUAACUGUUAUUUCCUCUCUGAUAAGUCUGGUUCUUGGGAUAAAGGCAGAGAGGACUGUAAAGGCAAAGGAGCAGAUCUGUUGGUGAUAAACACCCCUGAAGAGCAGAAGUUUGUCUCAGAGUUUUCCAAGAAAACCAUUUGGAUUGGGUUGAACGACAAAGAUCAGGAGGGUGUCUGGAAAUGGAUAGAUGGAACUCCAUUUACUCGGAAGUACUGGGCGAUAAAUCAGCCUGAUAAUGGUGGUGGGAGCCCACGGUGGGGUGAAGAGGACUGUGUACAAAUCAAUGCUGAUGACACUCAUUGGAACGACCUGUCAUGUCAAACUUCUCUGCAAUGGAUCUGUGAAAAAAUUGCAUAACUCUGAUGGAUAACUUUUUUCAAGAUCAUAUAUUUGUAAAUGCUUU